AGAGUUUGAUCAUGGCUCAGGAUGAACGCUAGCGGAGGCUUAACACAUGCAAGUCGAGGGGCAUCACGGGUAGCAAUACCUGGUGGCGACCGGCAGACGGGUGAGUAACGCGUAUGUAACCUACCCUGUACAGGGGGAUAACCCGGAGAAAUUCGGACUAAUAUCCCAUAAUGAUAUCUGGGGGGCAUCUUCGGAUAUUUAAAGUUCCGGCGGUACAGGAUGGGCAUGCGUAACAUUAGCUAGUUGGUAAGGUAACGGCUUACCAAGGCUUUGAUGUUUAGGGGGUCCUGAGAGGGUGGUCCCCCACACUGGUACUGAGACACGGACCAGACUCCUACGGGAGGCAGCAGUAGGGAAUAUUGGGCAAUGGGCGCAAGCCUGACCCAGCCAUGCCGCGUGCAGGAUGAAGGCCCUCUGGGUUGUAAACUGCUUUUAACCGGGAAGAAAAUGUCCGAUUCAUCGGGCACUGACGGUACCGGUGGAAUAAGCACCGGCUAACUCCGUG
Molecule: ribosomal RNA, 505 nt
Filed under: uncultured bacterium
Lineage: Bacteria
Description: bacterial SSU rRNA
Rfam family: Bacterial small subunit ribosomal RNA
Source: RNAcentral